AAUGGCAGUGCAAAUGGUCUUAAAUACUGAGGGUGAAAUUCAGUAAGGACAAGUGCAGGGAAGUGUACCUGGGAAAGAGAAAUGAAUCAUACACUUCAAAGCUGAGGAGCGACUGCCUACAUAGCAGCUCAACAGGAAAGUAUUUAAGAUUUUUAGUAGAGCACGAGUGGAGUGUGAGGUAACGUCUUGUUUUUGCAGAAAAGCCAACACCUUGCUAGGAGCUAUGAAAGGAGUGUCUCCUGUGCUCCGCAAGUCUGUAAGACACAUGAAGUAAUCCUUCCAUUAUCCACAGCUCGUCUCGGAGAGAACAACCUGCACAAUGCUGUGCGUGAUGCUCGUGGUUAGAGGUGGACCAGUGGGAGCAAGCCUUUAAAGAGGAUCAGCAAUGACCAGCUGCAAAGAGUCAGAGACAUGACCUCGGAGGAAUGACUGGCUUGUUUUUGAGAAGAGAAGACUGAGAAGGGAAAUGCUCCCAAAAUGGCAAGAGUUACUGCAGAGAGGAAGUAAGAAAUUAUUUUCCAUGCACAUGUGCAGGGGAAUAGGAUGAGAAGUAAUGGCUUGAAACUGCAGUGGCAGAGAUGUAUGGAGCUUUCUAAAGCUAAGAGGAGCAAAGCAUAAUUAUUUAGUAUGGGAGUUCCUGCAAUUGCCGUCUUCGUGACUCUUGGAAGCAGAUGAAACAAGCAUCUAUCAGGAAUGUUUUUGCUGACUCUGACCCUACCUUGGAGGCAGGAAUGCAUUAGAUGAUUUCUCAAGGCACUAUCCAUCCUGUUUUCUGUAAUGAAAGGGAGUUCUGGGAUUUCAAGGGAGUGAAGCUUUGCCUCCACCAGAAAGAUGUGCUCUCACGGGUCCUGCCACGAUCACCACAACACCUGCCACAGGUCACGAUGUGGGUCUCACUGCCAUGAGUCCAGACCCUCCUGCAACAUCAAUGAGGUAGAGAGGCUGUCCGUUCAGUCCUGGUGCCCCGUGCAGCAGUACUGCCCCGUGCAGCACUACUGUCCACCCACCUGCUGCUACCCACGCUACCAGUAUUCCCAGUGCUGCAAGUUCCCUCCGGAAUACCCCAAGUGCCCUCCCCAGUACCCCAAGUAAGACACCUACAUUAGCACUGAAGCCCAGACCUGCCUCUUGCAAUCCUCCUGUUGUUUUCAAUGCCAAACGAUAUUUUGUCUUGUUUCAUAAUGGCACCUUCUUAGCAUACGUGUGACCAACUUUGUCUGGUUUCUGACUAAGUGUAAUGUAUGAUCUUGGAGAAUGGGGUGAUUGUAAAUCUUGAUCUGAUUAUUUAUAAUCUUACUUUACUGCUUCAUGCUCCAGCCGGAUAUGGCACAUAAUAAAAUAUAUAAUUCCGCAAAACUA
Alligator mississippiensis (American alligator) is the source of this 1359-nucleotide long non-coding RNA. RefSeq lists it as uncharacterized. The transcript has 2 exons. The record is from RefSeq and is a predicted model, not a curated record. NCBI's taxonomy places the organism in Eukaryota, Metazoa, Chordata, Crocodylia, Alligatoridae.